Long non-coding RNA from Danaus plexippus (monarch butterfly), 856 nucleotides. RefSeq lists it as uncharacterized. The transcript has 2 exons. The record is from RefSeq and is a predicted model, not a curated record. NCBI's taxonomy places the organism in Eukaryota, Metazoa, Arthropoda, Insecta, Lepidoptera, Nymphalidae.
AUAUUUUUCUUUUUACUCAUAUCGUGCGAAUGACAUUAUGUUAAAUGACAACCUGAUGGAAGGUUAAAGGUAUUAUUACAAUCAUAACAUAGACAGUUUGCUCUGACUGUACUUUAACUCGGUCUGUUUUCACAAGAUAGACGACAAACCAACGACUGUAUGUGUUUGACCCAAUAAUCCACAAAGACAUCUUUUCACAUUUGAUCAAAGGUUUUUUGUAAGUUAUAAGGUCACUUGUUACAUUCAAGCAUUUAAAAUUGAUUGUUUUAAUUUGGUAUUUAUUAGAGUUUUAUAGUUUUAUAAAACCACUGAGAAUCUAUCAAUAAAAUAUCUCUCAGAUCUCAGCUCCUUUGAUAAAAUUGUAGAGAAGUUGAAGACGGAAUUUAUAACAACGACGACGCGUUAUUAGGAUACUUUGUUGUCUGGGAGAUGUGAAAAACUGCGCUCCGAGGUUCGUUUGUUAACCUUAAAUUAUGUAGUAAAUCUGAGAAAAGUUUUAUUUCUAUCUGUGAGACUAUUCAGAUACAGCAGCUGUGAAAUAUGUAAUAAUGGCAGUUACAGUGAGCUCCUUAACGUGAAUGGACAAUCGCCGGCCUGGUAGAAAUAGCCCUUCUUUUAGUUAAACUCACAUAAAACUGUUUUACGUUACUGAUUGUUUAGUAACCAAAGGGGCACAACAUACUGACAGAUAUCGAUGGAGCUGUGACGGGAUUGAUGACAUUUUUGAAAUCCAGUUUGCCAAGUUAUUGUCAUCUACAUGUUUUAAGUUUAAGCCAUUGAUAAUAUAUAUGUUAAAGUGUUGAUUUACUGAUCGAACUAUGAAAUAAAAUAAAACUUUAUAAACUUUUUGUACCGA